AGUGAACGCUGGCGGUAGGCCUAACACAUGCAAGUCGAACGGCAGCACAGUAAGAGCUUGCUCUUACGGGUGGCGAGUGGCGGACGGGUGAGGAAUACAUCGGAAUCUACUUUUUCGUGGGGGAUAACGUAGGGAAAAUUACGCUAAUACCGCAUACGACCUACGGGUGAAAGCAGGGGAUCUUCGGACCUUGCGCGAUUGAAUGAGCCGAUGUCGGAUUAGCUAGUUGGCGGGGUAAAGGCCCACCAAGGCGACGAUCCGUAGCUGGUCUGAGAGGAUGAUCAGCCACACUGGAACUGAGACACGGUCCAGACUCCUACGGGAGGCAGCAGUGGGGAAUAUUGGACAAUGGGCGCAAGCCUGAUCCAGCCAUACCGCGUGGGUGAAGAAGGCCUUCGGGUCGUAAAGCCCUUUUGUUGGGAAAGAAAAGCAGCAGGUUAAUACCCCGCUGUUCUGACGGUACCCAAAGAAUAAGCACCGGCUAACUUCGUG
Molecule: ribosomal RNA, 492 nt
Filed under: uncultured bacterium
Lineage: Bacteria
Description: partial 16S ribosomal RNA
Rfam family: Bacterial small subunit ribosomal RNA
Source: RNAcentral